This 69-nucleotide transfer RNA is filed under the name Ictidomys tridecemlineatus (thirteen-lined ground squirrel). Its description in RNAcentral is "Spermophilus tridecemlineatus (thirteen-lined ground squirrel) tRNA". It matches the Rfam family "tRNA". Rfam says of the family: Transfer RNA (tRNA) molecules are approximately 80 nucleotides in length. The record is from Rfam by way of RNAcentral. Lineage: Eukaryota; Metazoa; Chordata; Mammalia; Rodentia; Sciuridae.
GGGGUUGUGGCUCAGUGGUAGAGCGCUUGCCUAGCACGUGAGAAGAUCUGGGUUCGAUCCUCAGCACCA